This 253-nucleotide ribosomal RNA is filed under the name uncultured bacterium. Its description in RNAcentral is "partial 16S ribosomal RNA". It matches the Rfam family "Bacterial small subunit ribosomal RNA", at positions 524 to 776 of the family's 1533-position model. The record is from RNAcentral.
UACGGAGGGUGCAAGCGUUGUCCGGAUUUAUUGGGUUUAAAGGGUACGUAGGCGGGAUAUCAAGUCAGUGGUGAAAUCCGGCGGCUCAACCGUCGAACUGCCAUUGAUACUGAUGUUCUUGAGUGUGACUGAGGUGGUUGGAAUGUGUAGUGUAGCGGUGAAAUGCAUAGAGAUUACGCAGAACACCGAUUGCGAAGGCAGAUCACUAGGUCAUCACUGACGCUGAGGUACGAAAGCGUGGGGAGCGAACAGG